Molecule: long non-coding RNA, 3874 nt
Organism: Poecilia latipinna (sailfin molly)
Lineage: Eukaryota; Metazoa; Chordata; Actinopteri; Cyprinodontiformes; Poeciliidae
Exons: 3
Source: RefSeq, a predicted model, not a curated record
UACUGGUGGUGGUUAACCAUUAGCCGCGAAUAAUGCUAAAGCUAGUGUCGUGUUUGCUAACCCGAAGCACUGUUUCAAAGUUGCUGUUAUUUUGUUUUUGUUUGGACUACAUUUGACCAAAUCCGAUUCAAAAUGUACGACAUUUAUAUUUACAUUUGUCAAACUUGGACUGAAAUAGGACAAUUAACAAUAAUCAAGAAAUAUAUAUGUUUACUCAGCAUGGUAACAACAAAAAAUAAAGAUUGUUCUGAUUAGGACACUUCACAAAAAACUCAAAAAAGUGCUAAAAUAGUCUAAAGUUCUCACAAGCAGCAAUCAACCAAGUUGUGUAAACCAGAUGAUUAAGUUUUGCAUGUUCAGAACAAUUAGUAAGAACAGUCAGAUAAUAACAUAGUUACUUUUGCAGCCCAGGAGAGAAACUGUUUGUUUGCUUCUUGGAGUUUAUACUUGUAGGUUACAUUGAGCAGAAACUCUUUAAAAAUACACACUUUUUGAUUUUUAAACCUUUAUUUUAUUUUUGGAAAAUUUGAACUGUUUCUCCUAUUUCUACAAUCGAGGAAUUAGCAUUUCAAACGCAUAAAAACAAUGUAACAAAUAUUCAAAUUCUGACUAAAUUAUUGCACGCUGACUGCAGAUCUAAAACGCAGCUUGUGGUUUGGAGAAGCUUCUCUGUAUUUUUGAGAAUAAAACAAUAAAGAUUAUUAGUUUUCUCGAAUCGCUGCUAAAGUAUCAUCUUGUCUCGUGAGUUGGACGUGUUGUUACACUGUUAGUUGGAAGGGAUAAAGCCCACUAUAAACAAACACGGCUCCACCAACUCUCGGCGGAGCCGUGUGAUGAAUAGUACCAGUCAAAAAUCACCGCUGACGCUCAUAACCCGAUUUUCACAGGGAAUUUUGCACAACUUCAUUUUGUAGUAACACUAUCCACCUUGUAAAAAUGAACACCCUCUUCUGACAGCACAAGUGAGAAAUGGGAUAGUUUUCCCACUGAGUUCCCAGAUGUAGGAUUGCCAUUGUAUUCACACACCCAGUGUUAGCCCAAGAAGGCACCUUUUAAAAAAGGGCUCAGUCUACGCUUUGCAGAGAAAACAAACCUGUGAUAUGUAAGAGGUGGCAGUGCGAAACCCUCGGUACAAAGUGCUUGUUUACUCUAGAGUAACCCCAAAAGGAACAUUUGAUUUGAAAUUUGACAUCCUCUUCUCGUAUGGCAUUUUAAAACCGUCGUCCCGUUAAAUAUUUGGGUUCCCAUGAUAUGCCUGAUGCUAAGUAAGGCCGUGCGUGUGUGAGAGAGUACGUGUGCCUGCGCGCGUGCGUGUGUGGGGGUGUGUGUGUGUGUGUGUGUGUGUGUGUGUGUGUGUGUGUGUGUGUGUGUGUGUGCAGUACAGCGGAGCAGAGUACAUCUGCAGUGGUAAGGAAACAGUCUGUUAGCAUACAGCUUUGACAACUCCAUCAGGCCCAGUCUCAAGGUAGCUGUCAAUCACAACAAAUCAUCUCAUCCCCGAGCGCUGCGAGGACCUCUCUCCACUACUACACACAUGACAGGCCCCUACAGCUCUAUUUACCCAUGCACACCCUCCCAGCGCCAAUGAUUUUGUAAUUAGAAAACAGCAAAAGAGGAAAGGGAGAAGGGGGCUGCAAGCAAAGUAAGGCGGUAAUAAGUUUUGGAUACAAAGCAAGUGAAUGGCGUCCUUUCACUCGCUACAUUGGCAUUUGAAGAGGGGGUUGGCACUUGCAUAGAAAACGCAAAGGCAUUCUCAUUCACUCUCCCAUUUAGGGAACAAUAUAGGCUUGUGUGUGUGCGUGCGUGUGUGAGUGUAUGUGUUAAGGUGGGGGUGGGAGUGUAAGAGUGUCACAGGCAGACUCGAUUUGCAAGACUCAUUUUCGGCUAAGUAUAAUUAGAUUAAUGUGGCGAUGGCAUAGCUCAAAGCCAGGCCCUCUCCGCUUCCAUCCCAGAGCAUAUGAAUUAGCUACUAAACACAUCUUUAUUCCAGGCAGAUAAAGCGCUGGUGUGAGUGUUUAGCAUAUCCUUUAUGAUGGGGAAAGAUGUUAAUUGUGUCCCAUUACUUCUAAACUGUUUGCUUGUUGUAUUAAUCACUGUGCUAAUUGAUGCAGAAAUAAAAUUGUUGCCACAGGCGCAGAGGGGAGAGAACCAAAGUCGGGGAUGGUGGAUGAAAGAUUAUCGUCGCAAACAUAUGGAGAUGGCUCUGCUUUGAAAGUUUGCUCCAUCUACCCACAAGCACCGCGUGGGCCUGAGUGUUACUCUGCGAACCUCAUCAAAGCCUAAAUGAGCUUGAGGGGUUUUGCUGAAAUGUAUGAGCAACAGCUCCAUCCUCUUCAUGCCUUAAGCUGGUGGAGACUUUCAGCUGAAGUCGCAGUAAAAGCUGGUCAUAGUUGGGAUAGAGGUGCUUUGCCUCCCUGUGCUCUCGGUGCUUUCCUAUUCAAGGUCAAGAUCUGGCAGCCAAAGUGUGGAAAAGCAGCAACGUGCUCAGAUAGAUGUGACUUUGAAGAGGAGGAGUUUAGUAUUGAAUGCUUUCGCCUGUUCGGUUUGGCUAGAACAUCCACAGUUUGGUCUCCUUCACACAUUUCUUCAAGGCUCCCUUUAAUCUCUCCUGGUGCCUCUCAAACCGUGCCUUUGAUGCUGUGAUGCCCUUCUUUCACUCACUCAAUAUUCGAUCUGUCUUACUUCUUACAGCUAAAGCCAGCCGAAGUGUAUUCACAUAGGUCUACCCCCUUGUUUAUCACCAGUUCCUCCCACUCCUUUCCUCCCAUGCUCGCAGAAAUGACCACCUGACUGACUCCGAGGGAUCCGUUUUAUCGGCCGUGUAACGUGAAGUGGAAGUCGGUCUUAAUUGAUAGUAGCAGUCGAUCGUGUCUGUUCUCUACAAAUGGGAGAAACACAAAGACGGGCAAGCACACAUGCUCCACUACGGUGUGUUAAUGAAAGUCAAGUAGCUCGGGUGCUCCCGCCCACCACGUUGAGCCAGAGGUUUACGUAUCAGCUAUCAUUCCCUCCCUGCUCGCACCCACAGAUGAGCCUACGAAAUAGAAACAAGAUCCAAAAUUACUUCUCGUUUACUUUAUCUGGAGACAUGACACAUGUUGUGUGGGAUGGCAGACUUUAUUGUCAGCGGGAAAAAGCGGCGGCUGUAUUUCUUCACGCAUUUACAACAGCUGCCUUACUUUGGAAGAUUUGAUGGAUCGUGCAGUUCGCAGACUACCGUGGUCAGGCUGUUUUUUUGUUUUUUUUUUUGGUAAUAUUGUGCUUUGCAAAAUCCUCUGGAUGAUUUAAGCUUUUUCACAUUGUAUCAGGCUACAACCAGAAACUUCAAUGUGUUCCGGUUAGAUGCUACGUGAUGGACCAACACAAAGUAGAGCAUAAUUGCGAAGUGGGAGCAAAAUGGUUUUGAGAAGUGGCAAAUCUGAAAAGUGCAGUACUUCAGGGUCACGUGAAGCGCUAGUUCUCACAAUCUGUUUUGCAUGAAGUGCAAACUUCUAAUUUUGCUCUUACAAGAACUCCUCACUUCGCAGCCAUGUCCUGCGUUACACUGGUUUAUCAUGCACAAUCCCUUUCAAAUACUAUUGGAGUUUGUGGUUGUAGUGUGACAAGAGUGCAACGAUGUUUGUUUGAUAUGAAUUAUUUUCCAAGGCGCUGUAAUCGCUGGCCAUACUGGUGUGCUCUGCUGCUGAUGUCAGAAAGUGACCCUGUGGCCUGAUGUUGAGUCUUCUCUACGUCAGGAUGGAGAAGAGACGUCCACCAUAUGGCAAUGCCUUCUGCAUCCUUGUCUCGGAAUAAUUACUGGACUGUAUGCAUCACAGCAAUUCAGCUGAAAAAAAUAGCAUUAAAAUAAACAAGAAGACUAAGAUAUGCAACACUA